ACCAGGAUGGCCGAGAGGUUAAGGCGUUGGACUUAAGAUCCAAUGGGACAAAUGUCCUCGUGGGGUUCGAUCCCCACUCCUGGUA
Carassius auratus (goldfish) is the source of this 85-nucleotide non-coding RNA. The record is from the annotation of a RefSeq genome assembly. NCBI's taxonomy places the organism in Eukaryota, Metazoa, Chordata, Actinopteri, Cypriniformes, Cyprinidae.